AAAUUUUCUAAAUGGCGCAUGCACCCAGCAGCUCAGCUGUGUGUGGUGUGGCUGUGUUGGCUGUGUGUUUCACGACUCAUCCGCGAAAUGAAAUAAUGCAUUUUAUUCGAUUCUUUAUUGAAUUAACCAAGUGCUGCACCUUGACAAAGUGAUAUUGGAAACAUGGGCCUGCAACAGAUGUAGCAGCUGUAACUUAUCGGAGAUUCAGCAUUGCUCAUAAAAGGAAGGAAGAAACUUUACUAGCUUUAAUGACCUCGCAGACGUGACCGUGGUUGUGAACACUUGGCUGUAGAUUUAGGUUCAUAAAAUGGAGAGUGUCAGAGAUGAGGAUAGGCGAAGGCGCCUGAGACACCUUGAAGAACGGAUAAAAGAUCCACGCAGUAUAACCAAUAUCGAUUGUCUAUUAGACACUGUACAGGCCCUCGCCUCUGAUUGUGAUCACCCUAGCGUCAGACGUAUGAAAAACGUUGAGGCUUACAUGAACAGAUAUGAUUCCGUUGCCCGUGAUAUCUGUAAAAUGCGAAUGCGUACCGAUGAUUUUACACAAAUAAAAGUUAUUGGACGUGGGGCAUUUGGAGAAGUUCAAUUAGUCAGGCAUAAGUCUACACAAAAAGUAUAUGCCAUGAAACUGCUCAGCAAAUUUGAAAUGAUCAAGAGAUCGGAUUCAGCAUUUUUUUGGGAGGAGAGAGAUAUUAUGGCGCACGCUAACUCCCAGUGGAUUGUUCAACUGCAUUUUGCCUUUCAAGAUAACAAGUACCUCUACAUGGUCAUGGAUUAUAUGCCGGGUGGCGACCUGGUCAAUCUCAUGUCAAACUACGAUGUGCCUGAAAAAUGGGCAAAGUUUUAUUGUGCCGAAGUCGUUCUUGCCCUAGACGCUAUACAUUUAAUGGGAUUCGUUCAUAGAGAUGUUAAGCCUGACAACAUGUUACUGGACAAACAUGGGCAUUUAAAAUUGGCUGACUUUGGGACCUGUAUGAGAAUGGAUGCGGAUGGACUUGUGAGAUCCGACACAGCUGUUGGUACACCGGAUUAUAUAUCUCCAGAAGUUCUUCAAUCUCAGGGAGGUGAAGGAGUUUAUGGUAGGGAAUGUGAUUGGUGGUCAGUUGGAGUUUUUCUGUACGAAAUGCUCGUCGGGGAUGCACCAUUCUACGCUGACUCCUUAGUUGGAACCUAUUCAAAGAUUAUGGAUCACAGGAAUUCUUUGCACUUUCCACAACAAGAAGUAGAUAUAUCCCAUGCGGCGAAGAGUUUAAUCUGUAAUUUUUUGACGGAUCGUACAAAAAGAUUAGGAAGAAAUGGCGUUAACGAAAUCAAAAGCCAUGCAUUUUUCAAGAAUGACCAGUGGACCUUUGAUAAUUUGAGAGAAUGCGUACCGCCAGUUGUACCAGAGCUUUCUGGUGAUGAUGAUACUAGCAAUUUUGACGAUGUUGACAAAGAAGAUGGACCAGAAGAAAGUUUUCCUGUUCCAAAAGCAUUUUCAGGAAAUCAUUUACCCUUUGUUGGAUUCACUUAUUCUGGAGAUUAUCAACUGAUGAGUAGCGGUGGGGGGGAAAGUGUCGAUGGGAUUGUUAAUCAUAUAAAUAAUGGUAUCAGUGAUGAUGUAAAAAUAUCUCAACUAGAAAAUUUAAUCGAACGUGAAAAACGGCAAGUUGAAACGCUAGAGGCCCGACAAAGAGGUCUGACAUCACAGCUGGAAGCGGUUACAAGGCGGGAAGCCGAAUUACAAGAAGAAACAGCGCGAGCAGAUAAAGAAUUAACACUGCUUAGACAUAACUUCAAAGAAACGCAACGCAGAUUAGAGCAUGAGGCUGAGGCGCGACGAAAAGUUGAAGCUGCUUUGAUCGAACUCAAGAAACAGUUUGAAGAAGAGCUGUUCAAAAAGGCAAGAGAUGCUACCAAUUCCCAUCAGACAUCUGAGAAAAUAAUAACUCUCGAGAAGCAAUUGAAAGAAAUGCAGGCAAAACUUGAGAGAGAAACUGAAAGUGCUGGUAGACUUAGGAAACAAGCCGCAGAAGUAACUGUUGCCAGACAAGCUGCUGAGCAAAUGACCAAUGAGCUCCAAGUUGCUAGAGCGCAGUUGCAAGCACAGAGAGAUUCGUUGCAGCAAGAAGUCGCUGCAUUACAGGGCCAACUUUCCAAAGAGCGUAGCUCUCGGUCUCAAGCGUCUUCCUUGACUGCUGAACUUGAGACACGAUUAUCUGGCUUACACGUUGAGUUGGAGCACAGCCGUCGACGGGAAGAAAAAGCAACUUCGGACAAUAGACAGUUAGGGGAGAGGGUAUCUUCUCUUGAAAAAGAAGCUGCAGGAUUGACUCUAGAAUUGAAAGCAGCUCAAGCAAGGUAUAAUCAGGAAGUAGCUGCACAUCAAGAAACCGAAAGAUCCCGGAUGCUCUCCAAAGAAGAAGCAAACAUGGAAGUCGUUAAAGCGAUCCAAGUUAAAUUGAAUGAGGAAAAAAGCGGAAGACAACGAGCAGAAUUGCUUGCUCAAGAAAAAGAAAGGCAAACCUCUAUGCUGUCCGUCGACUAUCGUCAAAUUCAGCAACGAUUACAAAAGCUGGAAGGAGAACACCGACAAGAAGUGGAGAAGGUUAAAGCAUUACAAGGCCAAGUUGAACAAGAGCAACAGAAAAGAAAUGUUCUGCAAACAGAGUUUGGCCAGCAAUCUUCGGAAGCUGGUAGACUGAGAGCUCGAGAACAACAAUUAGUCGGGGAAGUGGCUCACCUCAGGGAAGCUAAAAGACAAAUUGAAGAAGAACUACACCAUCUAAAAACUCAGCGAAGUGUGGAUUUGCUACAAAGUAAAGAAUUACAAGAACAGUUGGAAGCUGAGGCUUAUUUUUCAACACUUUACAAAACCCAGACUCAGGAGCUCAGGGAAGAACUAGAUGAUAAAACAAGACUCCAGCAGGAAUUAGAAGAGGAACGCUGCUCACUGGUUCAUCAGUUACAGCUUUCACUGGCUAGAGCUGAUAGUGAAGCAUUAGCUAGAUCGAUUGCUGAAGAGACGGUUGCGGACUUGGAGAAGGAAAGAACUAUGAAAGAAUUAGAGUAUAAAGAUAGCAUCACUAAGCAUCGACAGGAAUUAAAUUCUAAAGAACAGUCAAUAUUAGUGCUCAAGGACAACGAAAAUGAGAUGAAGAAAACCACUGAGUUGUAUUUGAAGGACAAAGAAGAUUUAAAUAAACGUCUGAAAGAUUUACAGGAACAACUUAACAAAGAACAUUGUAAUGUGGAAGAGAUAGAUCGACUCAGCGGUAAACUUAAAACAGAACAGCUGCUGAAACAGCAGGCGGUUAAUAAACUCGCUGAGAUAAUGAACAGAAAAGAUAUAUCAUCGGGCACUAAAACUAGAAACAAAGUUCCUUCUGCUGAUUUGCGAAAAAAAGAAAAAGACUGCCGCAAAUUGCAGCAGGAGCUCACCCAGGAGAGAGAAAAAUACAGUCAAUUAGCUGCUAAGUGGCAAAAGGAUCUCCAAGAUUUGCAGGCCCAGCUAGUUGAAGAGAAUCAAGCAAAACUGAGGCUGCAAAUGGAACUUGAUUCCAAAGAUUCUGAAAUAGAAACGCUACAAAUGAAAAUAGCCUCAAUAAAUUCAGAGACGGCUAGCCUUUCCUCGGCGGAAAAUGACGGGGAAGAUACAGUCCUAUCUGAACAUGGUGCCUUAAGAUUAGAGGGUUGGCUCAGCGUACCCAACAAACAGAAUAUUAAACGACAUGGUUGGAAGAAGCAAUACGUCGUUGUGUCGUCUAAGAAAAUAAUAUUUUACAACAGCGAAAACGACAAGAUGAACGCUGAUCCAAUACUGAUAUUAGAUUUAAGCAAAGUCUUCCACGUUCGAUCUGUGACCCAAGGAGACGUGAUUCGAGCCGAUGCCAAAGAUAUUCCAAGGAUAUUUCAAUUAUUGUACGCGGGAGAAGGAGAGGCGAGACGCCCAGGUGACGAGAGUAACGCGUUGCCAGGUGUAGAACUUCCACAAUUAAUGGAUAAGCCUGGUACUUUGUCAUUGAAAGGUCACGAGUUCAUUUCUAUAUCUUACCACAUGCCAACUACUUGUGAAGUUUGUACAAAGCCCUUAUGGCAUAUGUUCAGACCACCACCUGCUCAAGAGUGCAGAAGGUGUCGAAUCAAAGUGCACAAAGAGCAUUUGGAGAAGAAGGAAGACGCAAUUGCUCCAUGUAAAUUGCAUUACGAUCCUAAUAGCGCAAGAGAAUUGUUGGUCUUGGCAGGGAGCCCAGAUGACCAAAAAUAUUGGGUGACAAGGCUGUCAAGAAGGAUUCAAAAAUGUGGUUACAAAGCCAACUCACAUGUUGAUGGAACAGGGCAGCGUGUUUCUCCAAGGUAGCGUAGGUGGCCAGCGCAUCCGCGAACUUAGUAGCUCUUGUGUUGUGGCGUCGCAUGAAUGGGUGUAGAAAGGAGAGACACCAUUCCAUUACUCAACACGAGACUAUAGAUCUAACUACGAUGAUCACUACUAUCGGUAUACACUACGAAUGUAAAAUUGUUGUUAAUGUCUAAGUUUGAGAAUGCGUGAUAUUCAAAUAGGGCCUAGGCAAAACCUGUAGAAUACUACAAUACGUAUCCGUGUUAUGAAUGAUACGAAGUUUUAUUUGCACUAGGCGGAAGCUAAUUAAGAAAACGGACUUCCGCGAGUCCGAAUACAAGUUUUGUAUUGUAAACACCAAGGGCGAGGAAUCAACAAGAUUAGUUGUUAUCCUAAAUCGAACAAUAUUGGAAAAAAUCCGGGGUCUGAGUUCGGACCUAGAUUGAUUCCGUGUGAAAUAUCCUGCCACUAAAAUCGAAAGGCAGGGAAUUUUUUCAGAUGCACGAACGAACUUGGCUAUUUCUCAUCUCUGGUGCCUACAAUGAAAUACUUUGGUUUGCUUUUAUAGCCUCCGAAUUAUUUUUUCUCCUUGCUUCAGUUUCGGUUGCUUCUAUCCAUUGCGAAUAGACAUCUAAAGACAUCUAGCGAUACAUUCCCAAUUUUGAUUAACAAUCACUCUCUUUUGUUCAUCGAAUUAUUAUAGGCAUUUGUUUGUUUCAUUAAAUACCCAUAUGUAUAUUUACGAGGGACGUAAAAAUACAAGAGGGCAUUUUUCAGAAGCACGCAGAUAAUACAAUAGUCACUUGGUGACUAGCUCUCCAAUGAAUCCACUAGACUGUUGAAUAGUUUUCGAAUAUGAUUCAACUUUUUCCCAACCAACUCGUUAUGUCUGAGGGCUAUUUUUUUCAGCGUGCUUGUUUCUAAUAAAAGGGAAAAGGUAGCACGCUCAGAAAAUGCAUGUUUCAAAUAAUUGUGGACGGUGCUAUUUUUCUUAAGCCAUUUGCGGAAUCUACCUUUUAGAAACUGUAACGAAAAAUCAACGAAUUUAUCGGAAUACAGAAUAUUAGGGUUGCAAAACACUUUCUCUGCCAAGAUUAUUACAAACAAUGAAUGAUCACGAUUGCUCUCCAGACAUUUAGUUAAAUACUUCAGUUAUAGAUGCAGUUUUUUCAGAUGCUUUUCCGAGAUGUUUGCAAAUACUGAGAUUUUGAUCUGCAUUAGCAUGGUGUGGUUUUUUGUACAAUACGGGGUAGCCAUAAAAUCUGAAAUCAUACUUUUAAACAGACAGGGAUCAUUUUCAUUCUUCAUCAAUCAAUGCUAAAAAUCUUAGCUUUUAUGGCCACCUUUUACAAUACAUAUUAGUUAGAGGUCUGAUUCUCAUGGAUUAAAUUUGCUUGCUGCCCAAAGCCUCGCUUUGGUUCCAGCUUGAUGAAUAACAUUCAAUUCAAAUGCUUCCCAAAUUUUGAUUUUAGGGAAUCUACAAGAUCGACGCUAAAGCCUUACUUGUCGGUUCCACAACGAUCUGCUACUCUACCUGCCAACGCUGGUAUGGGCAAAUGAUCUUGAGUGUUUUCCACAACGAUUUAUCAAAAAUGAGAAAUUAAUCCUUUUUUCCUUUUUCUGUUCUUUAUGUAUGUACGCAAUCAUACAUAUUUACAUAUACAUGUAUGUAUAUUUUGGCCGCUUUUUUUCUGUAAAUAUGUCACAUACACAUUGUGUACCUAUAAUUUAAGUGUUCCCUGUAGGAUUAUUGCGCAUAUGAUUUCUUUUUUCUUUUGAAUCAACAAUUUGACAGCAGCUGCUAUCGAUGAAGGUUCUCUCACAAUAGUUCGAUUAUCCAAACAUAAAACCAUAAAAUAUUAGCAUUGAUAUAUUGCAUAAAUUUAUUGAUAUUUUAACAACGAAUACUUUUAUUCUCAUCGCCUAUUGCACUGAAUAACAUUCAUUAUAAUAGAAUCUCAAGAUCCAAAAAAGUUGAAGAAAAAAAUUUUCCUUGUCGACUCAGAACUGUAAUAUUGUAGAAAAUAUUUUUCCUAUUUCUUUGAAUGUUCGCCUGGCAAAAAUUUUGACUUACAUCCUAUCAUGUGAAAAUCAUCUUAAUGUGUGAUUCUCUACAAUAUUAACGUGUAAAUGAUAUGAAAAAAAAAAUAGGAAACAAGAGUUUGGUAAUACUUGAUACGAAGAAAAAAAAAAUAGUAAUAAUUGUUGGUGCGCAAACAAAUAAAACUAGCAGUCGGAAUCGCAUCAUUUUGAUAUCGUUGCCAAAGUAAAGUAACAACAAAAUCCUUAAAAACAAGAACAAACAGGUGAUUAUGAAAUAAACCGUUUUGCUGUUAGUAAAUAUAAUGUAAUGUACAUAUCCGUACAAAUAGUUAAUUAUUUAAUCAUUUUUGCCAUUACGCUGACCGACGAGCUGGGCACUGGAUCGAAAUAUAAUUAUAGAUUAUGCUUGAAAAAGUAAACUCAGAUAAUUUAUUCGCAGAUACAUCUCUGCAGUUAUUUGAACUUGAUUUUCCCUGUAUAUAAUUAGAAUGCUGACUGGGAACCUAGAUUUAUGUAUCAAAAGUUAACUACAUCAACUUUGAGUGCAUAAGACAACGAGAUUUGAGUAUGUGAAAAAAAAUUGUUUAUACUUUCAGGUAUUCUUUAUCAAAACUUCGAGUGUAAUUGAAUUAGCAUAUACAAAAAUAAGUAUUAUUAUGUUUUAUACAUUCUGUGAAUUAAAUAUUUAAUUUCUUACUUUACGAUGAUAAUUAUUAUACCUAAUGAUAAUAAAUUUAAGAAGAUCAUUCGCCCAGCUAGCCAUGGCGGCCGCCAAAGUUAACGCGAUUAAAAAUAACAAUAAAAAUAAAGAUACACUAACUUAAUUAACAGGUACUUAUCAAAAGAAAGAAAGAAAAAAACUAAUAAAUAAAAGUGCUAGGGAACAGCGCUAUGAGUGAGCUUCUUUGUAUAGUAGAUAUAUAAAUGAAUUGUAGAUUAAGGAUUUAUAAUGUAAUAUAAUAAUGUUAUUGUAAUAUUCGGGUAUAAAACGUGCAUAACUAAAGUUUACCACACUUCAAACAUCAGGUGAUUCUAUGUAAGAACGAUACUUAUUGUUUGUAACGCAAUUUCGUUCCACUCAUGAAUAACAUUGCCUGCAGUCUAUGUCGGAUAGAUUACGGGCCAAUCCUAAAGUCUAAUCAUUGUUAAUUGACAUAAUAAAAAUAUUGAAAGAUUAUUCUCUGUAGGAUUGACUGGUACAGUUUUUAGCAUUAAAACACCAGAAAUAUUUUCUGACCGUUUUAACUGUUUAUACAUUUACACGUAGUAGUCCGAUUAUUGGGUGAGGUAUACUACUAAUCUGAGCUUGCAUUAGAUCUACUCCACGGUGCUCCUUCCCUUUUCAGUCUGCCUUGGCCGUGAAAAAAUCAAAUCGACAGAGGCAGCUGAUUAGGACUUAAACCCAAAAAACUAAACUACUGCCCCGUGCCUUCCCUCCCAUUUGAAAUGAGUUUGAGGAGGAGAGAUGAAAAUAUUAAAACGAGAAACUUGUUACAGCAUAUUUUAUUAUUGUUUAGUUAUUUACAAUCUGUAUAUUACUAAUUAAUAUUACGAUUAAAACUAUUUUGUAGAUAA
Molecule: RNA transcript, 7936 nt
Organism: Athalia rosae (coleseed sawfly)
Lineage: Eukaryota; Metazoa; Arthropoda; Insecta; Hymenoptera; Athaliidae
Gene name: rho-associated protein kinase 2
Exons: 12
Source: RefSeq, a predicted model, not a curated record